GUUGUUGUAGCUGACAUUCAAAUUCUCGAGAUUGAUGCAAUUGCUUAUGGUUGAAGGAAUUGGACCGAUGAGAUCGUUCUGUGAGAGAUCAACUUCGGAGAUUGAAGGAAUCUUCGUGAUUUCAUGAGGUAUGGUUCCUGUCAGAUAGUUUUUACUGAUAUUCAACUGAAUUAGUUUUUCACAAUCACCGAUGUUCCUUGGAAUGGUUCCGUUGAUUGAAUUUCCUUGUAAUUCGAUCCGGUAAAUAUUUUGGCAACCAAUGAAAUUGGGAAUUCUACCGGUGAUUUUGGAAAAUGAAGCUGAGAAAAAUUGUAGGUUAGUUGAAUUCCAAAUGCUGUUUGGUAAAUUGCUUUCAAAUGAGUUUCCUGAGAUGUUUAGGUAUUGUAGGUUUUCUAAUUUUAGUGGAAUUUUGCCAUUGAAAUUGUUGUUGCUUAAAUCUAGGUAGGUUAAAUUUGGAACCAGUGUAAGGGUUUGUGGAAUUGACCCGUUGAGUUUGUUGUUUUGGAUUCGAACCCUAGUGAGUGAGGUACAGUUGUUGAGUGACGAUGGAAGACUAUUGGUGAAAUUGUUGUCGAAGAGAAUGAACCAAACCAAAUUGUUUCCUUUGCAAAUGUUGAUGGGGAUCGAACCUUGAAGUGAGUUUGUGGAAACAUCAAGUAAUUUUAGUAACCCAUUGGAACCGAGUUUUGGUGGUAGUGUACCUCUGAGUGAGUUGUUGAAAACUUGGAAAGUGUUAAGUUUUGAGAGUUCACUAAUUUCUUGUGGAAUUUCACCUCUUAGUUUGUUAUCCAUCAGAUGCAAAAUUGUUAGUUCCUUUAACAUUGUUAUUUCUGAUGGAAUUGAACCCGUGAGUUUAUUUUCUGAUAAAUCAAUAGCUUUUAGGGAUUUCAACUUGCCUAUGCUUGAUGGGAUUUCACCACUUAAGUGAUUCUUGAAAAGAAGCAGUGUUUCAAGCAUGGUUAAGUUUCCUAGUUCAGGAAUCACUAGACCAGAAAUGUUGGCUUGUGAGAUGUCUAAGUAUUUUAGACUACACAACAUUGUUAGUUCAACUGGUAGUGUUCCUGAAUAUGUGUUGUAUCCAAUUUCUAAAUGUUGUAGCUCUGAUAAUAAGCCUAGUUCAGGUGGUAGUGUGCCUUCCAAUGCAUUACCAGCUAAAUCUAGGAACUUGAGUCUUUUGAAAUUUCCAUAGCUUGGUGGGAUUCUUCCAUUGAAGUAGCUUCCACCAAGGCUGAGCUUUUCUAGAAAUGGAAGCCUGAUUAGUUCUUCAGGAAGAGGGCCAGUGAAACUGUUGCUGUAUGCAUUAAAGGUUCUUAAAAAUAUUAACUUCGAAAUUCCAGGUGGAAAAGUUGAGUUGAAAGAGUUAUGGCUAAUGUCUAGUGUUCUAAGUUCACCGAGUUGGAAAAUUGCUGUUUGGAAAGUUCCAUUGAAGUCAUUUCCACUUAUGUUCAAGUGGGUUAAGGUUGUUAAGUAACGGAUUUGGGGUGAGAUUAUGCCUGAAAAUUUGAGGUUAGAGAGGUUUAGUGAAAUGAUUUGUGUUGUUUUUGGGUGGCAAGUGAUGCCUCUCCAAGAACACCAAACUGGGUCUUGGUGGUUAUCGGAAGGAUUUUCCCAGUCAGCGAGUUGAUUUAGAGGGUCAAUUAGGGAGGAUUUUAUUGAGAGGAGGGUGAUGAGUUGAAAGCGAAGAGUUGUGACAGUGGGAACUAAUGGUAGUGUUUGGGAAAAAAUUGACAAUGUGAUUAGAAAGAAAAGAAAAGGUUUCAUUGUUUUGGAGUAAUGAUUUUGUUGUUGAAUCAGUCUUGAUCAAUGCAUCUCAGGAUGAACAGUGUGUUUCAGUUUCAGAGGAGGAUUGGUGUGCAGAUUGAGCAAUUUCUUGGCAGAACAGGGUUCACUUGUUACAGUAGCAUUAUCUGUGCAGAGUUGUGUUGUCUGGUGUCUUUUGUUAUUUAAUCAUCAGUGUCAGUAGGCUUGCGAUAAUUGUUUUGCAGGUGGCUUUUAGGUGAUCAGGCUUUCAUAUGUUGAAGGACCUGAUUGUUUCAUAUAUUGAAUUGUGGUGGUGCUAGCAUUUGCUUGUACUUGAAUUUUAGGUUUUGUAGCUUUGGUGUUGCUUGGUUUUGGAUGUAGUUGUGUUAUAUCUUCAGUGUUUUUUGAAGAAGGUUGAGAAAUAUCUUCAGUGUUGCUUGGUUAAUGCAGCACAAGUUUUAUAAAGAAGGUUGAUAAAUAAACAAGGAGUUUGAUCAUAUUUAUAACUAGCAUAAAGUUACAUUAAUUUUUCUUUGCAAAAAUGAGUACUAUUUUUUCCCAGGUAGCAUAAUCUUUCUUCACUCACAAGUAAGUGUGUUAAUAAGGAAGGUGAAUAAAUUCCCUUAAAAAGAAAGGGAGUUAAAUUAAAAUAUCUGAUUAAAGGCUUCGUUUGAGUCAGUUUUGUAAAAAUGUCAAAAUGCCUCCCAUUUUUUCUCCAGGAAGCACAAUUUUUCUUCACUCAAAUAAGUGUGCUAAUAAGGAAGGUGAAUAAAUUCCCUUAAAAAGAAAAAAAAAAAAAAAAAAAAAGGAAGGUGUAUAAACUAACAUCUGAUUUUUAAAUAGAGCAAUGCUAUAUGUUACGAUUAAUUUCACGUAUGAAAACUGACGAAUGCACAAAUGUCUAGUUUUAAAGGAAUAAAAAAUCAGAUUUAGUAUGCUGGAACACAAAUCAUGGGGCAGUGGCAAUUAAAGCUUGACAAUCAUCACUUGAAUAAUACUAAAAAUACUUACUUUACAGAAUACAUGGUGGUACGACAUUCAAAGUGUAAGCAAUUAACAGAAUUCGUAGCUUUUCGUAGUUACCAUCUCGUACCAUCCAUCAUUACCCUUUUAAAUAAGAGGUGCAAAAAUUCUUUUAAAAAAAAAAAAGAGGUGCAUAAAUAUUUCAUCUUUUUUUUCUUUUUUCUUUUUUAGAAAUGUCACCAUUGUUUUAUACCUCUUACUAUGCAUUCAUUGUUAUUUUUAAAAUAAAAGAUGUUUUUUUUAAGCCAAAAUUUAAAAUAAAAGAUGUUUUUUUUUUGACAAAAAUAAAAGAUGUUACGACACAUGAAAUGACGAUUGAAUGCAUAGUAACCGUUAGAUCAAAUCUUUUUUUAUUUAUUUAUGCAAAUACAAAAACACUGCACCGGUUAUAAGUCGUGGGUUACAUUUGUUGUACUACACAGCAAUCAUCUUUUAAAAAUAACCCACCAUUUCCUUUCCUUUAAUAUAUAUUUAGUUUUUAUAUUCUUAUGUUUUAUUUUUCAUCUUUUUUCGUUUAUGAUGAUAUUUUAGGGAUUCGACUCUAUCUUUAUUCUUUCAAUAGUCCUUUGGUACAAAAUGGAGAUUGCCCUGUCUACCAAUGUGUACAAAAUUCCAUUCAUCGAAUGCCGUGUACAAAUCAUUGACGUCUUACCAGGGGAGGCUAAUGCAAAAAACAUUAGAGCAUAAGGUU
This 3454-nucleotide long non-coding RNA is filed under the name Medicago truncatula (barrel medic). RNAcentral's name for it is "long non-coding RNA (MTRU_LNC001662)". The record is from RNAcentral. Lineage: Eukaryota; Viridiplantae; Streptophyta; Magnoliopsida; Fabales; Fabaceae.